UACGGAGGGUGCGAGCGUUAAUCGGAAUUACUGGGCGUAAAGCGUGCGUAGGCGGCCCGCCAAGCCAGGUGUGAAAGCCCCGGGCUUAACCUGGGAACGGCACUUGGAACUGGCGGGCUAGAGUCUGGGAGAGGGGAGUGGAAUUCCGGGUGUAGCGGUGAAAUGCGUAGAGAUCCGGAGGAACACCAGUGGCGAAGGCGACUCCCUGGCCCAAGACUGACGCUGAGGUACGAAAGCGUGGGUAGCAAACAGG
Molecule: ribosomal RNA, 253 nt
Filed under: uncultured bacterium
Lineage: Bacteria
Description: partial 16S ribosomal RNA
Rfam family: Bacterial small subunit ribosomal RNA
Source: RNAcentral